RNAcentral lists this ribosomal RNA (503 nucleotides) under uncultured beta proteobacterium. RNAcentral describes it as "bacterial SSU rRNA". It matches the Rfam family "Bacterial small subunit ribosomal RNA", at positions 9 to 507 of the family's 1533-position model. The record is from RNAcentral. Lineage: Bacteria; Pseudomonadati; Pseudomonadota; Betaproteobacteria.
GAGUUUGAUCCUGGCUCAGAUUGAACGCUGGCGGAAUGCUUUACACAUGCAAGUCGAACGAUGAACCCUAGCUUGCUAGGGGGAUUAGUGGCGAACGGGUGAGUAAUAUAUCGGAACGUGCCUUGUAAUGGGGGAUAACUAGUCGAAAGAUUAGCUAAUACCGCAUACGCCCUGAGGGGGAAAGUAGGGGAUCUUCGGACCUUACGUUAUAAGAGCGGCCGAUAUCUGAUUAGCUAGUUGGUGGGGUAAUGGCUCACCAAGGCGACGAUCCGUAACUGGUCUGAGAGGAUGAUCAGUCACACUGGAACUGAGACACGGUCCAGACUCCUACGGGAGGCAGCAGUGGGGAAUAUUGGACAAUGGGCGCAAGCCUGAUCCAGCCAUGCCGCGUGUGUGAAGAAGGCCUUCGGGUUGUAAAGCACUUUCAGCGAGGAGGAAGGGAGUUGUGUUAAUAGCACAGCUUCUUGACGUUACUCGCAGAAGAAGCACCGGCUAACUCUGUG